This 1605-nucleotide ribosomal RNA is filed under the name Vibrio parahaemolyticus. RNAcentral describes it as "partial 23S ribosomal RNA". It matches the Rfam family "Bacterial large subunit ribosomal RNA", at positions 1 to 1654 of the family's 2925-position model. The record is from RNAcentral. Lineage: Bacteria; Pseudomonadati; Pseudomonadota; Gammaproteobacteria; Vibrionales; Vibrionaceae.
GUUGUAUGGUUAAGUGACUAAGCGUACACGGUGGAUGCCUUGGCAGUCAGAGGCGAUGAAAGACGUAGUAACUUGCGAUAAGCCCAGAUUAGGUAGUAACAACCAUUUGAGUCUGGGAUUUCUGAAUGGGGAAACCCACGUGCAUAAGCACGUAUCCUUACCUGAAUACAUAGGGUAAGGAGGCGAACCGGGGGAACUGAAACAUCUAAGUACCCCGAGGAAAAGAAAUCAACCGAGAUUCCGAAAGUAGCGGCGAGCGAAAUUGGACUAGCCCUUAAGCUUUACACGCGUUAGACGAACGGUCUGGAAAGUCCGACGAUACAGGGUGAUAGUCCCGUAGUUGACGACGUGUGUUCAGUGAAAUCGAGUAGGGCGGGACACGUGAUAUCCUGUCUGAAUAUGGGGGGACCAUCCUCCAAGGCUAAAUACUACUGACUGACCGAUAGUGAACCAGUACCGUGAGGGAAAGGCGAAAAGAACCCCUGUGAGGGGAGUGAAAUAGAACCUGAAACCGUGUACGUACAAGCAGUAGGAGCAGGCUUUGUCCUGUGACUGCGUACCUUUUGUAUAAUGGGUCAGCGACUUAUAUUCAGUGGCAAGGUUAACCAUCUAGGGGAGCCGUAGGGAAACCGAGUCUUAACUGGGCGUUCAGUCUCUGGAUAUAGACCCGAAACCAGGUGAUCUAGCCAUGGGCAGGUUGAAGGUUGAGUAACAUCAACUGGAGGACCGAACCGACUAAUGUUGAAAAAUUAGCGGAUGACUUGUGGCUAGGGGUGAAAGGCCAAUCAAACCUGGAGAUAGCUGGUUCUCCCCGAAAGCUAUUUAGGUAGCGCCUCGGACGAAUACUACUGGGGGUAGAGCACUGUUAAGGCUAGGGGGUCAUCCCGACUUACCAACCCUUUGCAAACUCCGAAUACCAGUAAGUACUAUCCGGGAGACACACGGCGGGUGCUAACGUCCGUCGUGGAGAGGGAAACAACCCAGACCGCCAGCUAAGGUCCCAAAUUACUACUAAGUGGGAAACGAUGUGGGAAGGCUCAGACAGCCAGGAUGUUGGCUUAGAAGCAGCCAUCAUUUAAAGAAAGCGUAAUAGCUCACUGGUCGAGUCGGCCUGCGCGGAAGAUGUAACGGGGCUAAGUAGUAAACCGAAGCUGCGGCAAUAUACUUUUGUAUAUUGGGUAGGGGAGCGUUCUGUAAGCGGUUGAAGGUGUGUGGUAACGCAUGCUGGACGUAUCAGAAGUGCGAAUGCUGACAUGAGUAACGAUAAAGGGGGUGAAAAACCUCCUCGCCGGAAGACCAAGGGUUCCUGUCCAACGUUAAUCGGGGCAGGGUAAGUCGACCCCUAAGGCGAGGCCGAAAGGCGUAGUCGAUGGGAAACGGGUUAAUAUUCCCGUACUUCUUACAAUUGCGAUGGGGGGACGGAGAAGGCUAGGUGGGCCUGGCGACGGUUGUCCAGGUUCAAGUGCGUAGGCUUAAGAGUUAGGUAAAUCCGGCUCUUUCUAAGGCUGAGACACGACGUCGAGCACCUACGGGUGUGAAGUCAUUGAUGCCAUGCUUCCAGGAAAAGCCUCUAAGCUUCAGAUUGUAAGGAAUCGUACCCCAAAC